CCUACGGGCGGCUGCAGUGAGGAAUAUUGGUCAAUGGACGAGAGUCUGAACCAGCCAAGUAGCGUGAAGGAUGACUGCCCUAUGGGUUGUAAACUUCUUUUAUAUGGGAAUAAAAUGUUCCACGUGUGGGAUUUUGUAUGUACCAUAUGAAUAAGGAUCGGCUAACUCCGUGCCAGCAGCCGCGGUAAUACGGAGGAUCCGAGCGUUAUCCGGAUUUAUUGGGUUUAAAGGGAGCGUAGGUGGAUUGUUAAGUCAGUUGUGAAAGUUUGCGGCUCAACCGUAAAAUUGCAGUUGAAACUGGCAGUCUUGAGUACAGUAGAGGUGGGCGGAAUUCGUGGUGUAGCGGUGAAAUGCUUAGAUAUCACGAAGAACUCCGAUUGCGAAGGCAGCUCACUGGACUGCAACUGACACUGAGGCUCGAAAGCGUGGGUAUCGAACAGGAUUAGAUACCCCAGUAGUC
RNAcentral lists this ribosomal RNA (460 nucleotides) under uncultured bacterium. Its description in RNAcentral is "partial 16S ribosomal RNA". It matches the Rfam family "Bacterial small subunit ribosomal RNA", at positions 338 to 795 of the family's 1533-position model. The record is from RNAcentral.